This 254-nucleotide ribosomal RNA is filed under the name uncultured bacterium. RNAcentral describes it as "partial 16S ribosomal RNA". It matches the Rfam family "Bacterial small subunit ribosomal RNA", at positions 524 to 776 of the family's 1533-position model. The record is from RNAcentral.
CACGUAGGGUGCGAGCGUUGUCCGGAAUUAUUGGGCGUAAAGAGCUCGUAGGCGGUGUGUCGCGUCGGCCGUGAAAACCUGCAGCUUAACUGUGGGCUUGCGGUCGAUACGGGCAUCACUGGAGUUCGGCAGAGGAGACUGGAAUUCCCGGUGUAGCAGUGAAAUGCGUAGAUAUCGGGAGGAAUACCGAUGGCGAAGGCAGGUCUCUGGGCUGACACUGACGCUCAUGCACGAAAGCGUGGGGAGCAAACAGG